UAUAGGAAAUUUUAGAAUCUGGUAGCUGUAAUUUUGCUAGGAAUUUAUGACGAAAUUUAGUUAGGUUGCCGAAAAAAACGUGCUACAACUACAAAGUUGGUGGAUUCAAAAUUUUUUCGCUAAGUAGACAUAAAAUAUUUCCUCGUAAAGUACACGCUACAUUUAUGUCGAGCUUACGAGGAAAGCGUAUUUCCUCGUAAAAUCCACGUGACAUUACAUCGACUUUACGACGAAAUGAUUUCGUCGUUAUUUUACGAAGAAAUAACGUUGAUUUUAUAUUUCCUCGUAAAGUCGACAUAAAUUUACGAAGAUUAGUUUUCCUCGCUAAGUUUCCUUGCUAAACUUGUGUUUUCUUGUAGUGAGAUGAUUUAAACUACGAUAAACGUAUUAAAAAAUUUACACCGACAUAAUAAAAAUUGAACAUAGGUUCACUGAAACAAUUAUAAUAGUCAUAUUAGAAACUUAGUCAACCGAAGUGAAACUAUGACUGAAUCUUCUUAAACAAACAAGUUAAAAAAUAUGAUGAUAAUAUAAAGAGAAAUGAUCAUAGAAACAACAAUUCAUACGUAAUAUAAAACCAUACUCUUUAAACAAAAAUCAAAUGUUAAAUAAAAACACAAUGAACACAAACUUUCAUGUAAAGCGCAGAUCAACUCUUAGCAUAUAUAUAACAUUUUGUUUUUGAAACACAACAUAUAUAUAUAUAUGUUUCAUAUUAAGUGUCAAUUUAACAUUUUUCACGGAGAUUAAAAAAUUAUGUAAUAUACUAAUAUAUCAUUUAUUUAAUGUAUGAUUAAUUAAAUGAAAAUAGUUUAAAUAAAAACUUAUUGGUUAUUCAAAAUGGUAAAACUACACUAUAAUUAUAGAAUGAUACUUAUUUUGAAACAAAAAUUAAAUCUAAAGUAAAAUUUAUUAUGAAACAGAGAAAAUAAUAUUUUUAUUUAAACACAAGUUCUAAGAAACUGCCAUGUGUCAUUUUAUAUAAGCUUAUAAAAUAUAUUUGAUGUAAAUUAGAAUAUACUUUUUAUACUAAUUUAAAAUCUAUAAAACAUUUAUUGUCUUAGAAAAGUAAAGUAAAUUUAUGAAUGUUAAAUCAACAAAUAAGAAAUGAAGUAAUGUAUUAGUUCUGUAAUUGUUUUAGAUUCACGAUUACUCCGGAUAUCUACACUAGAAUCUGGUUUUAUAUUGUGUGCCUUAGUUACAUUUUCGUGGGGCGUAAACGAUUCAAACAAGAGAAAUCCUAAUUAGCUGGAUAUGUGUCACUGUCUUUUCGUCGAACCAUUAACCGUAAGAUAAGCUGCUCGAAAGGCAACGUAGGGACGGGGGCAAUGCAUACGGACAGAAACAUCGAACCAACUUUGAAAUAUUGUCAAUAAAUAAUUUACUUUGCAAGAAAAAGGAAACUUGUGGACCACGUAUCAGUGAUCGUGGCACGAAGUAUAGCCGAUCAUGAACUUGUGUUGGUUACAUUAUCUUCUUAUUCAUAUAAAACAUUUAGAUAUAUAUCUUUAUGGUUUUAGUUUCUUGAGGAAUGUGAACCAUUUACUAAUUAAUAAUCUCUCCAUUCAAAAUAAUUCAUGUUUCUUAAAAAAAAUAUUUCAAAAGAUACAUUUUUUAUAUUUUCAAGAUAAUUUUAUUAAAAUAUAUUUAAAAAAAAUUAAUUCUGUUUAUUAAAUUUUUGAUUGGUUAAAAGUUUUGGAAAAUAAUUAAUCACGAAAUAAUGCAUUUAUAACAUUUUUUAUAAAAUAUUUUCUUAAUAGUGUAAAAACUUUAAAAUAUACAUCUUUUUAUAAACCGAUGGAGUAUUAAUUUUUCUGACCUGUUUGGUUCUGAAGACAAUUAUAAUAGGUAUGGUGGCAUCAGAAAUAUAGUUCAUGUAGUGUUUUAUUUAUAUUUAAAUAUGUUUUAAGAUUGUGGAAAUUUUAUCAUAUCUUUUUAAACAGACGAUAUAACUGAUGUUGUUACUGAAUGAGGAGAUUUCUUUAUUUUUGUUUUGUUUCUCAAAUUGAGAAAAUUGGUUCGCAUGCCCUUAAUUGGUACCAUAACUAGAGCUUUUUUUUUUUUUUUUCCAUCUUUUAUUUUAUUAAUGGGUCUAAGCCCAUGAUCCAACAAAACAAACAUAAAACAUAAAGCCCGACACAAUGGGCCUACAUAAACUAAACCCGGGCCUAAAGCACAAGCCCACAAACCAAACGGCUAAACACGCGUCCAACAAAGCUCGCAUGCCCGUCCACGUGUUGAAGCCCACCCCUUUCGAGAACACGCGUCACCUGGUCACACCACCGCGACCGGCACCGAGAAAAACAUCGCCGGCGAAGACGAAACCAUCUCCUUCUGCUCUGUCUUCUCUGACUCCGGCGUAGUUUUUCUCGAGUUAGUCUCGAUGUAGCUCUCCGUUGAAGAGUCCAGGCGAAACAGAUGGGUGAGAUGGUCUCAGUUUCCGGUGUGCUCCGUCGAAACUAUAGGUGGUUUCGUCUUCGCCGGCGAUGUUUUCUCGGUGCCGGUCGCGGUGGUGUGACCAGGUGACGCGUGUUCUCGAAAGGGGUGGGCUUCAACACGUGGACGGGCAUGCGAGCUUUGUUGGACGCGUGUUUAGCCGUUUGGUUUGUGGGCUUGUGCUUUAGGCCCGGGUUUAGUUUAUGUAGGCCCAUUGUGUCGGGCUUUAUGUUUUAUGUUUGUUUUGUUGGAUCAUAGGCUUAGACCCAUUAAUAAAAUAAAACAUGGAAAAAAAAAGUUGUACCAUAACUAGAGCUUUGCACCUGAAAUGACAGUAUUAGUUUUAUUCCGAAAUUAACCCUACUUCCUCAUUGACGACCCUAGGUGAAGCUGUGUCAGUAUGUUCUGCGCAUGUCGGAAAUAUGUGUUAGAUGGAAAAUCCUUUUCUAGUUCUCUUUUUUCUCAUAAUAUCUUUCUUCUCCAAACUUUUUUUUUCUUUUCAUUUCUCUGUAUUUUACAAUUAAAUAUGUGUUUCGCAAAGUCUUUCUCCUCUCUCCUCUAUUUUUUGUAGUUUCUUUAUUUUUGUUUUGUUUCUCAAAUCUAUAGAUCUUUAUAAUUGAAAAAAAUGAGAAAGGAAUCCAUCUCAGGUGAAAGUUGUGUCAGAUCUGAGAAGGAUCAGAUGAUAAACUCUCUUCCCAGAAUUGGGAAGUUGCUGAAGAUCGAAGAUGAUUCCAGAGUGAUGGCUAGCAAUAUCCUGAUGUUUGUUGAUAUAUAUAACAUUUAUGUUAGUAGCCAUUUUACUCGUUACCCAAUAUUAUUUAUGUUUAUUAGUGUAUCUUUUGUUUUUUAUCGCCAUUUGAGAUAAAUGGUUUGUUAACUGUUAUUAUUUAAUUGUCGCUAAUUGAUAAUAUGUGGUAAAAUGUUAUAAGCCAUGUGUUGUUAGCAGAUAUAUAGUUGGUUAGAUGAUACAUGGCUUGUUAGGUGUUACAUUUUGCUUGGUACUUGAUAUAUUAUUUAAUACAUUAUUUGUUAACUGAUA
Long non-coding RNA from Brassica napus (rape), 3475 nucleotides. RefSeq lists it as uncharacterized. Lineage: Eukaryota; Viridiplantae; Streptophyta; Magnoliopsida; Brassicales; Brassicaceae. The transcript is spliced from 2 exons. The record is from RefSeq and is a predicted model, not a curated record.